UAAUACAUGCAAGUCGAACGCGUUGGCCCAAUUGAUUGAUGGUGCUUGCACCUGAUUGAUUUUGGUCGCCAACGAGUGGCGGACGGGUGAGUAACACGUAGGUAACCUGCCCAGAAGCGGGGGACAACAUUUGGAAACAGAUGCUAAUACCGCAUAACAGCGUUGUUCGCAUGAACAACGCUUAAAAGAUGGCUUCUCGCUAUCACUUCUGGAUGGACCUGCGGUGCAUUAGCUUGUUGGUGGGGUAAYGGCCUACCAAGGCGAUGAUGCAUAGCCGAGUUGAGAGACUGAUCGGCCACAAUGGGACUGAGACACGGCCCAUACUCCUACGGGAGGCAGCAGUAGGGAAUCUUCCACAAUGGGCGCAAGCCUGAUGGAGCAACACCGCGUGAGUGAAGAAGGGUUUCGGCUCGUAAAGCUCUGUUGUUAAAGAAGAACACGUAUGAGAGUAACUGUUCAUACGUUGACGGUAUUUAACCAGAAAGUCACGGCUAACUACGUGCCAGCAGCCGCGGUAAUACGUAGGUGGCAAGCGUUAUCCGGAUUUAUUGGGCGUAAAGAGAGUGCAGGCGGUUUUCUAAGUCUGAUGUGAAAGCCUUCGGCUUAACCGGAGAAGUGCAUCGGAAACUGGAUAACUUGAGUGCAGAAGAGGGUAGUGGAACUCCAUGUGUAGCGGUGGAAUGCGUAGAUAUAUGGAAGAACACCAGUGGCGAAGGCGGCUACCUGGUCUGCAACUGACGCUGAGACUCGAAAGCAUGGGUAGCGAACAGGAUUAGAUACCCUGGUAGUCCAUGCCGUAAACGAUGAGUGCUAGGUGUUGGAGGGUUUCCGCCCUUCAGUGCCGGAGCUAACGCAUUAAGCACUCCGCCUGGGGAGUACGACCGCAAGGUUGAAACUCAAAGGAAUUGACGGGGGCCCGCACAAGCGGUGGAGCAUGUGGUUUAAUUCGAAGCUACGCGAAGAACCUUACCAGGUCUUGACAUCUUGCGCCAACCCUAGAGAUAGGGCGUUUCCUUCGGGAACGCAAUGACAGGUGGUGCAUGGUCGUCGUCAGCUCGUGUCGUGAGAUGUUGGGUUAAGUCCCGCAACGAGCGCAACCCUUGUUACUAGUUGCCAGCAUUAAGUUGGGCACUCUAGUGAGACUGCCGGUGACAAACCGGAGGAAGGUGGGGACGACGUCAGAUCAUCAUGCCCCUUAUGACCUGGGCUACACACGUGCUACAAUGGACGGUACAACGAGUCGCGAACUCGCGAGGGCAAGCAAAUCUCUUAAAACCGUUCUCAGUUCGGACUGCAGGCUGCAACUCGCCUGCACGAAGUCGGAAUCGCUAGUAAUCGCGGAUCAGCAUGCCGCGGUGAAUACGUUCCCGGGCCUUGUACACACCGCCCGUCACACCAUGAGAGUUUGUAACACCCAAAGUCGGUGGGGUAACCUUU
Molecule: ribosomal RNA, 1437 nt
Filed under: Limosilactobacillus fermentum
Lineage: Bacteria; Bacillati; Bacillota; Bacilli; Lactobacillales; Lactobacillaceae
Description: Lactobacillus fermentum 16S ribosomal RNA
Rfam family: Bacterial small subunit ribosomal RNA
Source: RNAcentral